AAACGAAAGAAAUAAGGAAACACGGCAAAGAGGCAGAAUCUGUAGAGCAAAAUUUGUAUAGCAGCUAACUAGGGUUAGGGGCAAAGAGGCAAAAGAGAACAGUUAGAGAGGGAGAGAGAGAGAUGGGCAGUUCGGAUAAGGGAACAGGUGUGGUUGAUUGCAGUGUUGGAACAAUUGUCUGGGUUCGGUGACGGAAUGGCUUGUGGUGGCCAGGUAAGAUUCUCGGUCCUAAGGAACUCUCAGCUGUUCAUCUCAUGUCUUCGCGAUCUGGGACUCCAGUCAAGCUUCUUGUAGGGGAAGAUGCCAGCUUGUAAUUCUGUUUAUUCCCUGUCGCUCUCCCUCUCUGUGUGCGUUGAACCAUUAUUAGUGAUUGAUUCCUCAGUUUCUCUAAAUGAUAGUAGGAAGGUGCGCAUAUCAUAUAAGGGGGUACCAGGUGCCUGUAGUGAGGAUGCUGCACUCAAAGCCUACUCUCAAUGCAAAACUGUUCCUUGCAACAAGUUUGAAGAUGCAUUCAAGGUUGAUUAUGAUGUAACUCUAACAGCUUGUGGGCAGAAUUUAGGACACCACACAGAAUUGCUGUUGAACUCUGGUUGGCUGAUAAAACAGUUCUUCUGAUUGAAAAUUCUUUAGGUGGAAGAAUCCAUCACAACUACGAUUUACUCCUUUGGCAUAAGCUGCACAUAGUGGGUGAGGUUCAGCGGGCUGUUAACCUUUGCCUUCUAGCACUACUAGGUGUUCGAACAGAGCACUUGAAACGUGUUUUGAGCCAUCCACAGGCACUUGCUCAAAGUGAUAUCAUCUUAAGUAAGUUGGGUGCUACAAGAGAAAACGUCAAUGAUACUGCUAGUGCUGAUUAGCCACAAAUGAACUGAGGGAUGCUGGUGCUGUUGCAAGUGCUCAAGCUGCAGAAAUUUAUGGGCUAGAUAUACUUGCUGAGAGAAUCCAGAUUUCGCAAGUUAUGAAUGUUAGUCGAGAAUAUUUAUACAAGUGAGGUUGGGAAUUUGGGAACUAAAUUUGUUUUGAUAAUUUGUCUCUCCGGAAGAUGGAUAUCAUUAUGGCUUUUCAGAACUUAUGGCUGAAAUAAUUUUCUUUUAAAUUUUUUUUGCUUUAACUUUGUUAGUGUGGUAGAAUAUUUUAUAAAUUUGAUUAUGAUUUUUAUUGCAGUAUAAA
Camellia sinensis is the source of this 1170-nucleotide non-coding RNA. The record is from RefSeq and is a predicted model, not a curated record. Lineage: Eukaryota; Viridiplantae; Streptophyta; Magnoliopsida; Ericales; Theaceae.